GAGUUUGAUCGUGGCUCAGAUUGAACGCUGGCGGCAUGCCUUACGCAUGCAAGUCGAACGGCAGCACGGGAGCUUGCUCCUGGUGGCGAGUGGCGAACGGGUGAGUAAUGCAUCGGAACGUAUCCUGGAGUGGGGGAUAACGUAGCGAAAGUUACGCUAAUACCGCAUAUUCUGUGAGCAGGAAAGCGGGGGACCUUCGGGCCUCGCGCUCUUGGAGCGGCCGAUGUCGGAUUAGCUAGUUGGUGAGGUAAAGGCUCACCAAGGCGACGAUCCGUAGCAGGUCUGAGAGGAUGAUCUGCCACACUGGAACUGAGACACGGUCCAGACUCCUACGGGAGGCAGCAGUGGGGAAUUUUGGACAAUGGGGGCAACCCUGAUCCAGCCAUGCCGCGUGAGUGAAGAAGGCCUCGGUUGUAAG
This 418-nucleotide ribosomal RNA is filed under the name bacterium enrichment culture clone ALO1_GLFRUDD03GXWE0. RNAcentral's name for it is "bacterial SSU rRNA". It matches the Rfam family "Bacterial small subunit ribosomal RNA", at positions 9 to 429 of the family's 1533-position model. The record is from RNAcentral.